GGAGAAUUGUCCAAUGCAGGUCCAUGGACAACUCUGCUAGGGGGGCUUCAGAGAUGUGUCUGUGGAUUUCACCCCCAGGAGUUCAAUAAGCAAAGGUUUUGGGGGAUCUCAUAUCUGCAGCAAGACCAAACCUUAACUUGGCAAGGAAGCCUGCUCAGAUGUCCAUAGCCCGACCAAGUUGUCUACAGCCUCUGUGAGUGCUCCCACCCAUGCUAUGGCCUCUCCCUGCUACAGCCUCUGUGAAGAUCAUCUCGCCUUUCUCCCAGACCCCCUCUGCUACAUCCUCUGUGAGCUGAUUGGUGUGUGGACAACCUGCUCAAGCAGACUGGGAAGGCCAUACAGGACAUGGACCCUGACUCGGAGCAGACUGAUUUUCAGGACUACUCAAUGGACCCCACAGUUGCUAGUCUUCUGGAUGACUUCACUACCACCACCGCUGCUGACUUCUCUGCUGCCAGCCCCACCCAAGCUGCUCCCACUAUAGUGUCACUAGUUUCCUUAUAGAUCCUUAUCAAUCAGAUCGAGCAUUAACCUGCGGUUGCUCUUGUGUGUCACAAACCACUACCUUCCUUCCCACUGGGCACACACUGGUUGAAUCAAA
Coregonus clupeaformis (lake whitefish) is the source of this 601-nucleotide long non-coding RNA. RefSeq lists it as uncharacterized. The record is from RefSeq and is a predicted model, not a curated record. Lineage: Eukaryota; Metazoa; Chordata; Actinopteri; Salmoniformes; Salmonidae. The transcript has 5 exons.